This 312-nucleotide unclassified non-coding RNA is filed under the name Bombus terrestris (buff-tailed bumblebee). RNAcentral describes it as "misc RNA ENSBTSG00005023457.1". The record is from RNAcentral. Lineage: Eukaryota; Metazoa; Arthropoda; Insecta; Hymenoptera; Apidae.
CUCACUUGUCCGUCGUUCCUAGACGUCUUUCGACGAAUUCAACCGCGAGGAAGCGUAAUUCUACCUGUAAGAUGUUCGACUGGACAUUUUUCAAACGGAAGCAGACUUCCCAAUCAAAGAUCGCGCAUGACACCCACGGGAAUACUUGGAUCAGGUCAUUCCCAAAAGUUCUCUGGGUGGGACUCACCUCAAUGCCGGAACAGCGGUAUCAUACUUCGGGGAAUAACAUCUAUUUCCUUAUUGUUAUAUUUAUCACUUAAUUAUGACACAUGCAUCAUGGGGAAAAGAAUGCGAUAUAGAGUGAAAAAGGGA